AGCAGCCGCCGCGGUAAUACGUAGGGUGCAAGCGUUAAUCGGAAUUACUGGGCGUAAAGCGCACGUAGGCGGCUUUGUAAGUAAGAGGUGAAAGCCCGGAGCUCAACUCCGGAACUGCCUUUUAGACUGCAUCGCUUGAAUCCAGGAGAGGUGAGUGGAAUUCCGAGCGUAGAGGUGAAAUUCGUAGAUAUUCGGAAGAACACCAGUGGCGAAGGCGGCUCACUGGACUGGUAUUGACGCUGAGGUGCGAAAGCGUGGGGAGCAAACAGGAUUAGAUACCCGAGUAGUCCCUGUCUCUUAUAC
RNAcentral lists this ribosomal RNA (303 nucleotides) under uncultured bacterium. RNAcentral's name for it is "partial 16S ribosomal RNA". It matches the Rfam family "Bacterial small subunit ribosomal RNA", at positions 507 to 807 of the family's 1533-position model. The record is from RNAcentral.